This 225-nucleotide ribosomal RNA is filed under the name Triticum aestivum (bread wheat). Its description in RNAcentral is "partial small subunit ribosomal RNA". The record is from RNAcentral. Lineage: Eukaryota; Viridiplantae; Streptophyta; Magnoliopsida; Poales; Poaceae.
AUGGAUCUUGGUGAAACCGUAGGAAAUUUUUUAUUUUUUGCAACGUUCAUGGGGACGACGAAGACGGCGGAGGCCCGGACGUGCCAGUCGCAGAGCCACAAGUUCAAGGGCGCCUGCUUCAGCGACACCAACUGCGACAGCGUGUGCCGCACCGAGAACUUCCCCCGCGGGCAGUGCAACCAGCACCACGUCGAGCGCAAGUGCUACUGCGAGCGGGACUGCUGA